This 513-nucleotide ribosomal RNA is filed under the name Bifidobacterium adolescentis L2-32. RNAcentral describes it as "SSU rRNA". It matches the Rfam family "Bacterial small subunit ribosomal RNA", at positions 26 to 547 of the family's 1533-position model. Lineage: Bacteria; Bacillati; Actinomycetota; Actinomycetes; Bifidobacteriales; Bifidobacteriaceae. The record is from RNAcentral.
AGGAUGAACGCUGGCGGCGUGCUUAACACAUGCAAGUCGAACGGGAUCCCAGGAGCUUGCUCCUGGGUGAGAGUGGCGAACGGGUGAGUAAUGCGUGACCGACCUGCCCCAUACACCGGAAUAGCUCCUGGAAACGGGUGGUAAUGCCGGAUGCUCCAGUUGGAUGCAUGUCCUUCUGGGAAAGAUUCAUCGGUAUGGGAUGGGGUCGCGUCCUAUCAGCUUGAUGGCGGGGUAACGGCCCACCAUGGCUUCGACGGGUAGCCGGCCUGAGAGGGCGACCGGCCACAUUGGGACUGAGAUACGGCCCAGACUCCUACGGGAGGCAGCAGUGGGGAAUAUUGCACAAUGGGCGCAAGCCUGAUGCAGCGACGCCGCGUGCGGGAUGACGGCCUUCGGGUUGUAAACCGCUUUUGACUGGGAGCAAGCCCUUCGGGGUGAGUGUACCUUUCGAAUAAGCACCGGCUAACUACGUGCCAGCAGCCGCGGUAAUACGUAGGGUGCAAGCGUUAUCCG